Molecule: ribosomal RNA, 497 nt
Filed under: uncultured bacterium
Lineage: Bacteria
Description: partial 16S ribosomal RNA
Rfam family: Bacterial small subunit ribosomal RNA
Source: RNAcentral
GAUGAACGCUGGCGGCGUGCCUAAUACAUGCAAGUCGAGCGAACGGACGAGGCGCUUGCUUCUCUGAUGUUAGCGGCGGACGUGUGAGUAACACGUGGAUAACCUACCUAUAAGACUGAGAUAACUUCGGGACACCGGAGCUAAUAGCGGAUAAUAUUUUGAACCGCAUGGGUCAAAAGUGAAAGACGGUGUUGCUGUCACUUCUAGAUGGAUCUGCGCUGCAUUAGCUAGUUGGUAAGGUAACGGCUUACCAAGGCAACGAGGCAUAGCCGACCUGAGAGGGUGAUCGGCCACACUGGAGCUGGGACACGGUCCAGACUCCUACGGGAGGCAGCAGUAGGGAAUCUGCCGCAAUGGGCGAAAGCCUGACGGAGCAACGCCGCGUGAGUGAUGAAGGUCUUCGGAUCGUAAAACUCUGUUAUUAGGGAAGAACAUAUGUGUAAGUAACUGUGCACAUCGUGACGGUACCUAAUCAGAAAGCCACGGCUAACUACGUG